CUACGGGGGGCACCAGUGGGGAAUAUUGCACAAUGGAGGAAACUCUGAUGCAGCAACGCCGCGUGGAGGAUGACACAUUUCGGUGCGUAAACUCCUUUUAUUAGGGAAGAUAAUGACGGUACCUAAUGAAUAAGCACCGGCUAACUCCGUGCCAGCAGCCGCGGUAAUACGGAGGGUGCAAGCGUUACUCGGAAUCACUGGGCGUAAAGCGCGCGCAGGCGGCCUUUUAAGUUGGAUGUGAAAGCCUACGGCUCAACCGUAGAACUGCAUCCAAAACUAUUGGGCUAGAGUGUGGGAGAGGAAGAUGGAAUUAGUUGUGUAGGGGUAAAAUCCGUAGAGAUAACUAGGAAUACCAAAAGCGAAGGCAAUCUUCUGGAACACUACUGACGCUGAGGCGCGAAAGCGUGGGGAGCAAACAGGAUUAGAUACCCGUGUAGUC
This 439-nucleotide ribosomal RNA is filed under the name uncultured bacterium. Its description in RNAcentral is "partial 16S ribosomal RNA". It matches the Rfam family "Bacterial small subunit ribosomal RNA", at positions 339 to 795 of the family's 1533-position model. The record is from RNAcentral.